RNAcentral lists this ribosomal RNA (438 nucleotides) under Copris agnus. RNAcentral's name for it is "partial 16S ribosomal RNA". The record is from RNAcentral. Lineage: Eukaryota; Metazoa; Arthropoda; Insecta; Coleoptera; Scarabaeidae.
CAUGUCUUUUUGAUUAUAAUUUAAAGUCUGACCUGCCCGAUGAAUAAUUUUAAAUGGCUGCGGUAUUUUGACCGUACAAAGGUAGCAUAAUAAUUAGUUUUUUAAUUGAGAACUGGAAUGAAGGGUCGAACGAAAAAAAUACUGUCUCAAUUUAAAUUUAAUUUGAAUUUUAUUUUUAAGUAAAAAAGCUUAAAUAAUUUUAAAAGACGAGAAGACCCUAUAGAGUUUUAUAUUAUAAUAUAUUUAUUAAAUUUUAAGUAUUUUAUUUUAUUAUAUAUUCUAGUAUUUAAUUGGGGUGAUUAAAAAAUUAACAUAACUUUUUUUUAUUAUUUACAUUUAUUUAUGAUUAUUUGAUCCAUUUUUUAUGAUUAUAAGAUUAAAUUACCUUAGGGAUAACAGCGUUAUUUUUUUUUAGAGUUCUUAUCGAAAAAAAAGUUU